Molecule: long non-coding RNA, 1714 nt
Organism: Triticum dicoccoides
Lineage: Eukaryota; Viridiplantae; Streptophyta; Magnoliopsida; Poales; Poaceae
Exons: 4
Source: RefSeq, a predicted model, not a curated record
CUCAUGAGGCAAGAGCACUUCACAAGGGCUAUUAUAGCAAAGAAAUCGCUGGGUCUGCAAUUCUGGAUCAAAGGACACAGAAAAGAUGAUGGAGUUAGAGCUUCCGUACAGCAGAGUCUUAGCUGCUGGUCACACUUUAACCACACGCCAAUUGUAGGAGUGGUGCGGCGCCAUCCUGUACCACAAAUCAUGCGAAGAAUGAUGGGUGGUGUAAUCCUAUGCUAGCUAGAGUGCUAGACUGAUUUCAGAAACUCUUGGAGCUCAUCUUUUGGCCUGAAACACCAAGAACUAACCUGCCACAGCAGUGACUACUGAUUAAUACAAUGGAGUUCAUUUGAUCCAUCUGAUAAAAUACCUAUUGGGGAAUAAGCGUGAAAAGUAAUCACCCACUCUUUCCGGAGUGGAAUUCAGGUAUGCCUGCUCAUCUAUUUAUUUGACUGUUGUUAUAGAUAGAUUCAUCCGGGUCUGAAAUGUUAAUGGAGUUGUUUCAUUCCUCACACAAUCCCUUUCAAUUGGAUCAGUUCUCCUUUUUGAAUUACUCUAUAUUCCAUACAUAUAUGUUUAUUAUGUUCAUCGAGACUGCAAGACAUUUAUUUUGUUGAUAUUACCUUCAAGGGAACAUGGUACCUACGAUGCAGGAGGACUAUUGGAAAUCAGUUUUAAAUUUAAUCAAGUGUAUACUUCUCUUUUGUCUCUUCCGCAGCCAUGAUGUUAAGAAGUUCAGUGUAGGCAGGAAAAAAAAUCUUGAACAAGUACUCUGAUGAUGGCAAGAAGCAUAAUGUUAAAUGAACUGGGUAAUGUUGAGGUUGAUGAUAGCAUGCUUGUGUAAGUUUUUACAAGCUGUACAUUAUAUGGAUGAGAUCAUGAAUGUGGUAUGAAAAAAUGUCUGUCCAGUGUACAAAGCCAUGAAACUGGAUUCAGAAAUAAGAAAUAGUCGCUUCGACGACAGCGGUGGCGGGCACCGUGGCAUGGACGACGGUGAUCCCCUCGGCGGCGGCGAUCUGCAGCAGGUCAUGCUGGCUCUGCACCAGGCUCGCCGGCAUGAAUUGACCCCCUUCCACCGCCCUACGCCCCACCUGCUCGGCGUUCACCUCCGCUGGCGCCUACUGGCACACGAACUUCACCAGAAUUCACUUGCAGGAGAUUAAUGUGUUUGGGGAACUAUAUAUUGAAAAAGUGUGUAUUUUUGCAAGAGAAUAUAUAAUUGAUGUAACAUAUAUGAAAGAUGGUCUGAUAUUUGGAUUAAAGAGGCAUACUGAUUCAUCUUUAAAAAAAGGCAUACUGGUUCACAAAGAAUAAUAUUUCUAAUUUUCUGGAUGUUUGAUACAAUGUACAUUUGUGUUAGACGUGCGUUGCACAUGCAUGCUUACUAUAGAUUAUCCUAUACAUUUCCUUUAUUAACACAAAUGUCAAUUCUAUAAUCUGUUAGGCAUUACAUCUCUGUUUUGCGCAGGAAACUUCAGAAAUUAGGCUUUUCUUUGUAAAUGUCUUCACGACACUGGGUUGGCUUCUGUUCCGGUGGUCACAGAAUACUCAUGGGAUUUCAUUUGAAUGUUUAUUCUUCAGAUUAUGCUGAACUAAAUAUGAGCUCAGUGUGGUGUUUGGUUUGAAUGGUGAAUUUUGUGCGGUGUUUCUGCAGGAGUUUUUUAAUCUAAAGCAAGGGUGAGCGCCAAGGAAGGAGGCGCCGCCACGGGCGACGGUGGCGGGGUUGGCC